GACGAACGCUGGCGGCGUGCUUAACACAUGCAAGUCGAACGGAAAGGCCCUGCUUUUGUGGGGUGCUCGAGUGGCGAACGGGUGAGUAACACGUGAGUAACCUGCCCUUGACUUUGGGAUAACUUCAGGAAACUGGGGCUAAUACCGGAUAGGAGCUCCUGCUGCAUGGUGGGGGUUGGAAAGUUUCGGCGGUUGGGGAUGGACUCGCGGCUUAUCAGCUUGUUGGUGGGGUAGUGGCUUACCAAGGCUUUGACGGGUAGCCGGCCUGAGAGGGUGACCGGCCACAUGGGGACUGAGAUACGGCCCAGACUCCUACGGGAGGCAGCAGUGGGGAAUAUUGCACAAUGGGCGGAAGCCGGAUGCAGCAACGCCGGGGGCGGGAUGACGGCCUUGGGGUUGUAAACCGCUUUGGCCUGUGACGAAGCGUGAGUGACGGUAAUGGGUAAAGAAGCACCGGCUAACUACGUG
Molecule: ribosomal RNA, 468 nt
Filed under: uncultured bacterium
Lineage: Bacteria
Description: partial 16S ribosomal RNA
Rfam family: Bacterial small subunit ribosomal RNA
Source: RNAcentral